This 465-nucleotide ribosomal RNA is filed under the name uncultured bacterium. Its description in RNAcentral is "partial 16S ribosomal RNA". It matches the Rfam family "Bacterial small subunit ribosomal RNA", at positions 28 to 507 of the family's 1533-position model. The record is from RNAcentral.
GAUGAACGCUGGCGGCGUGCUUAACACAUGCAAGUCGAACGGAAAGGCUCCUGCUUGCAGGGGUACUCGAGUGGCGAACGGGUGAGUAACACGUGGGUGAUCUGCCCUGCACUUCGGGAUAAGCCUGGGAAACUGGGUCUAAUACCGGAUAGGACCACAUUUUGGAUGGUGUGGUGGAAAGUUUUUCGGUGUGGGAUGAGCUCGCGGCCUAUCAGCUUGUUGGUGGGGUAAUGGCCUACCAAGGCGUCGACGGGUAGCCGGCCUGAGAGGGUGUACGGCCACAUUGGGACUGAGGUACGGCCCAGACUCCUACGGGAGGCAGCAGUGGGGAAUAUUGCACAAUGGGCGCAAGCCUGAUGCAGCGACGCCGCGUGGGGGAUGACGGCCUUCGGGUUGUAAACUCCUUUCGCUAGGGACGAAGCGCAAGUGACGGUACCUGGAGAAGAAGCACCGGCUAACUACGUG